ACUGGCACAUCUUAUGUAUGCUCGAUGUAGAGGGUGAUUGAUCUCACAAUCACUUGUGUGAGAUACUAAUACAAAGAUGUGGAUGCUCAUUAGAGGAAUGAGUUCACCGAAAUGACCAGCCAUAAGAACAUCUUAUGGAUUCUUACUUAAUUGUCAAAAGAUAGUUCUCAUAGUGGGAGUUGUGCAAGUGAUCCUUAGACCUGAGAUCAUCAUGGUACCUUGUGCACUUGAACCUAUAUUUUGGUUUACCCUCAUUCAUGAAAUUGCGUUGUGUAUGGGAUAUUCUGGAUAUGGUGGAUUUUGUACGAAGGUUGUGAGUAGGUCAAUAAGGAAUCAGUCACUUCUAGUAAGAGAAGGUAACAUUCUACUUACUCUAAUCUUAUGAUGAUUCAAGAAGCCUUUGAUCAAA
Molecule: long non-coding RNA, 409 nt
Filed under: Phoenix dactylifera (date palm)
Lineage: Eukaryota; Viridiplantae; Streptophyta; Magnoliopsida; Arecales; Arecaceae
Description: long non-coding RNA (PDAC_LNC022712)
Source: RNAcentral